AAAGUAACUUCGAACAGGCCAGAGAGCAUCUCUCGGAGCCGGGUCACGAUCGUGACAGUGGACACCCACGGGACAGUG
RNAcentral lists this non-coding RNA (78 nucleotides) under unclassified sequences. Its description in RNAcentral is "NiCo sequence". It matches the Rfam family "NiCo (Nickel/Cobalt) riboswitch aptamer". The record is from RNAcentral.